AGUGAACGCUGGCGGUAGGCCUAACACAUGCAAGUCGAACGGCAGCACAGUAAGAGCUUGCUCUUACGGGUGGCGAGUGGCGGACGGGUGAGGAAUACAUCGGAAUCUACUUUUUCGUGGGGGAUAACGUAGGGAAACUUACGCUAAUACCGCAUACGACCUACGGGUGAAAGCAGGGGAUCUUCGGACCUUGCGCGAUUGAAUGAGUCGAUGUCGGAUUAGCUAGUUGGCGGGGUAAAGGCCCACCAAGGCGACGAUCCGUAGCUGGUCUGAGAGGAUGAGAGGCCACACGGGAACUGAGAAGCGGCCCAGACCCCUCGGGGAGGAGGAGGGGGGGAAUAUUGAAAAAGGGGCGAAGGCUGGAUCCAGCCUUCCCGGGGGGGGAAAAAAGGCUUUCGGUUUUAAAGCCCUUUUUGUUGGAAAAAAAAAGAAGCAGGUAAAUCCCCCGCUGUCCGGAGGGUACCAAAAAAAAAAGCCCGGGCAACCUUGGGG
RNAcentral lists this ribosomal RNA (492 nucleotides) under uncultured bacterium. Its description in RNAcentral is "partial 16S ribosomal RNA". It matches the Rfam family "Bacterial small subunit ribosomal RNA", at positions 29 to 507 of the family's 1533-position model. The record is from RNAcentral.